This 359-nucleotide unclassified non-coding RNA is filed under the name uncultured fungus. RNAcentral describes it as "partial contains small subunit ribosomal RNA, internal transcribed spacer 1, and 5.8S ribosomal RNA". The stretch from base 1 to 73 matches the Rfam family "Eukaryotic small subunit ribosomal RNA", at positions 1759 to 1831 of the family's 1831-position model. The record is from RNAcentral. Lineage: Eukaryota; Fungi.
GCAAACUUGGUCAUUUAGAGGAAGUAAAAGUCGUAACAAGGUUUCCGUAGGUGAACCUGCGGAAGGAUCAUUAAUGAAUAAACUUGGUCGAGUUGUUGCUGGCUCUUUGGAGCAUGUGCACGCUUGCCACCAAUUUUUUAACCACCUGUGCACCUUUUGUAGACUGAAAACGUUUCUCGAGGCAACUCGGAUUGAGAACUGCUGCGCGCAAGCCGGCUGUUCUUGUGUUUCUCAGUCUAUGUUUUCAUAUACUCCUUAUGUAUGUAUCUGAAUGUAUUGCUAGGCCUUUAGUGCCUUUAAAAACAAAUACAACUUUCAACAACGGAUCUCUUGGCUCUCGCAUCGAUGAAGAACGCAGC